UCUAUUAUUUUUUUCUAAAGAUAAUUUUUUAAGACUACCCUAUUCUUUCCUCUUAAUCAACUGAAAAGGAAUAAAAAUAAUUUUUCAAGAAAAAUUUUGUACCUUUUGUAUCAGGGGAUUUCUAAUAUUCAAAAUUACAUUGCUAUUUCCCGAAAAAAAUAGAUCUUCUUUCUUUCCCUUAAAAUAUUUCAUUAUUUUUUGAAAUUUUUAGAAGAGGUGAAACACCUUUCGCUAUCUUUUAUAUCUGGUUAUUAAAAAAAGUACUUCUACUAAAAAAAUAAAAGGGAUAAGCCUUUUAUUUAAACUUUCUCUUUUUACUUUUAUUAACCCUAGGAUUAUUAGUGUCCUAAAAGUUUUUCAACCUCAAUCUCCUUUUUCUUAGCUUUCCUUAUUUAAUAUUCAUCCAAUAAAAAUUUAAAAUGAAAUCAUCAGUAAAGUUUUUUCCUCCAAUUUUUCACCUUAAUCUCUCUUUCCUUUUUUUAUUAAUCAUCUUUUUAUGAACUAGGCAACAUUAUUUCUGUCUGUUUACCAAAAACAUUUCUAAUUUCUUUCAUAAUUAGUAAGACCUGCUCAAUGAAAUCUUCAAUAGCCGCAAUUUUCUGUGCUAAGGUAGCAUAAUCAUUUGCCCUUUAAUUAAGGGCUAGAAUGAACGGUUUUUCAAGAAAUAACCUUUAUUAAAAAAUCUUCUUUAAAUUUACUUAAAUGUAAAAAGGCAUUUAUAAAAAGAAGGACGACAAGACCCUAUCGAGCUUUACAUUUUUGUUUCACUGGGGCGGUACAAAACAAAUUCUUUUCUAUCUUCUUCUCUCUAUCCUCUCUUUAUGAAUCCAUCAAGUUACCGUAGGGAUAACAGCAUAAUUUUUUCCUAAAGACCUUAUCUACGAAAAAGAUUGUGACCUCGAUGUUGAAUUAAUUUCACUUUCAAGAGCAAAAUCUUGAAAAGUGGGUCUGUUCGACCCUUAAUUUUUUACAUGAUUUGAGUUCAGACCGGUGCAAACCAGGUCGGUUUCUAUCCUCUCUAUUUUUUUCUCAGUACGAAAGGACAAGAAUAAAAAAUUUUAUUUA
RNAcentral lists this ribosomal RNA (1065 nucleotides) under Phyxioschema suthepium. Its description in RNAcentral is "16S ribosomal RNA". The stretch from base 725 to 1018 matches the Rfam family "Archaeal large subunit ribosomal RNA", at positions 2151 to 2715 of the family's 2987-position model. Lineage: Eukaryota; Metazoa; Arthropoda; Arachnida; Araneae; Euagridae. The record is from RNAcentral.